RNAcentral lists this ribosomal RNA (253 nucleotides) under uncultured bacterium. Its description in RNAcentral is "partial 16S ribosomal RNA". It matches the Rfam family "Bacterial small subunit ribosomal RNA", at positions 524 to 776 of the family's 1533-position model. The record is from RNAcentral.
GACAGAGGGUGCAAACGUUGUUCGGAAUUACUGGGCGUAAAGCGCGUGUAGGCGGCCCUGCAAGUCGGAUGUGAAAUCCCACGGCCCAACCGUGGAAGUGCAUUCGAAACUGCAGGGCUAGAGUCCUGGAGAGGAAGGUGGAAUGCUUGGUGUAGAGGUGAAAUUCGUAGAUAUCAAGCGGAACACCGGUGGCGAAGGCGGCCUUCUGGACAGUGACUGACGCUGAGACGCGAAAGCGUGGGGAGCAAACAGG